RNAcentral lists this ribosomal RNA (207 nucleotides) under uncultured bacterium. RNAcentral's name for it is "partial 16S ribosomal RNA". It matches the Rfam family "Bacterial small subunit ribosomal RNA", at positions 568 to 774 of the family's 1533-position model. The record is from RNAcentral.
UGCGUAGGCGGCCCUGUGUGUCAGAGGUGAAAUCCCACGGCUCAACCGUGGAACUGCCUUUGAAACUGCAGGGCUUGAGUCCGGAAGAGGAAGGUGGAAUUCCUGGUGUAACGGUGAAAUGUGCAGAUAUCAGGAAGAACACCCGUGGCGAAGGCGGCCUUCUGGUCCGGUACUGACGCUGAGGCACGAAAGCUAGGGUAUCAAACG